RNAcentral lists this long non-coding RNA (271 nucleotides) under Elaeis guineensis (African oil palm). Its description in RNAcentral is "long non-coding RNA (EGUI_LNC078733)". Lineage: Eukaryota; Viridiplantae; Streptophyta; Magnoliopsida; Arecales; Arecaceae. The record is from RNAcentral.
GGAUGCUGCCACCAAGGCCACAUAGGGCAACACCCCUCUUUUCUCUUGGCUUCUUUGUACACUGCUGAACCCCACUAGCACCAGUGCUCUGGUUGCGCCACCACUACUUGAUUGCCUUGGUCGCAUCACGACCAACCCCACCCCUUCUUCUUCCCUUUGUUCUCCCUUAAGAAAGCCACUAGUUCAUCUUGGGCAGAAGAAAGAGGGAAUGAGAGAGAGAGAUGGAAAAAGAAAGAAAGAUGAGAGGGAGAGGGAGAGAGAGAAUUAGGAG